Molecule: transfer RNA, 74 nt
Filed under: bioreactor metagenome
Also listed under: 1 other name
Description: tRNA-Thr
Rfam family: tRNA
About the family: Transfer RNA (tRNA) molecules are approximately 80 nucleotides in length. Their secondary structure includes four short double-helical elements and three loops (D, anti-codon, and T loops). Further hydrogen bonds mediate the characteristic L-shaped molecular structure. tRNAs have two regions of fundamental functional importance: the anti-codon, which is responsible for specific mRNA codon recognition, and the 3' end, to which the tRNAs corresponding amino acid is attached (by aminoacyl-tRNA synthetases). tRNAs cope with the degeneracy of the genetic code in two manners: having more than one tRNA (with a specific anti-codon) for a particular amino acid; and 'wobble' base-pairing, i.e. permitting non-standard base-pairing at the 3rd anti-codon position.
Source: RNAcentral
GCCCUUGUAGCUCAGUCGGUAGAGCACCACCAUGGUAAGGUGGGGGUCAACGGUUCAAAUCCGUUCGAGGGCUC